This 1028-nucleotide ribosomal RNA is filed under the name Enterococcus faecium. RNAcentral's name for it is "bacterial SSU rRNA". It matches the Rfam family "Bacterial small subunit ribosomal RNA", at positions 59 to 1059 of the family's 1533-position model. The record is from RNAcentral. Lineage: Bacteria; Bacillati; Bacillota; Bacilli; Lactobacillales; Enterococcaceae.
CAGUCGACGCUUCUUUUUCCCCGGAGCUUGCUCCAUCGGAAAAAGAGGAGUGGCGAACGGGUGAGUAACACGUGGGUAACCUGCCCAUCAGAAGGGGAUAACACUUGGAAACAGGUGCUAAUACCGUAUAACAAUCAAAACCGCAUGGUUUUGAUUUGAAAGGCGCUUUCGGGUGUCGCUGAUGGAUGGACCCGCGGUGCAUUAGCUAGUUGGUGAGGUAACGGCUCACCAAGGCCACGAUGCAUAGCCGACCUGAGAGGGUGAUCGGCCACAUUGGGACUGAGACACGGCCCAAACUCCUACGGGAGGCAGCAGUAGGGAAUCUUCGGCAAUGGACGAAAGUCUGACCGAGCAACGCCGCGUGAGUGAAGAAGGUUUUCGGAUCGUAAAACUCUGUUGUUAGAGAAGAACAAGGAUGAGAGUAACUGUUCAUCCCUUGACGGUAUCUAACCAGAAAGCCACGGCUAACUACGUGCCAGCAGCCGCGGUAAUACGUAGGUGGCAAGCGUUGUCCGGAUUUAUUGGGCGUAAAGCGAGCGCAGGCGGUUUCUUAAGUCUGAUGUGAAAGCCCCCGGCUCAACCGGGGAGGGUCAUUGGAAACUGGGAGACUUGAGUGCAGAAGAGGAGAGUGGAAUUCCAUGUGUAGCGGUGAAAUGCGUAGAUAUAUGGAGGAACACCAGUGGCGAAGGCGGCUCUCUGGUCUGUAACUGACGCUGAGGCUCGAAAGCGUGGGGAGCAAACAGGAUUAGAUACCCUGGUAGUCCACGCCGUAAACGAUGAGUGCUAAGUGUUGGAGGGUUUCCGCCCUUCAGUGCUGCAGCUAACGCAUUAAGCACUCCGCCUGGGGAGUACGACCGCAAGGUUGAAACUCAAAGGAAUUGACGGGGGCCCGCACAAGCGGUGGAGCAUGUGGUUUAAUUCGAAGCAACGCGAAGAACCUUACCAGGUCUUGACAUCCUUUGACCACUCUAGAGAUAGAGCUUCCCCUUCGGGGGCAAAGUGACAGGUGGUGCAUGGUUGUCGUCAGC